Molecule: ribosomal RNA, 491 nt
Filed under: uncultured bacterium
Lineage: Bacteria
Description: partial 16S ribosomal RNA
Rfam family: Bacterial small subunit ribosomal RNA
Source: RNAcentral
GUGAACGCUGGCGGUAGGCCUAACACAUGCAAGUCGAACGGCAGCACCGUAAGAGCUUGCUCUUACGGGUGGCGAGUGGCGGACGGGUGAGGAAUACAUCGGAAUCUACUUUUUCGUGGGGGAUAACGUAGGGAAACUUACGCUAAUACCGCAUACGACCUACGGCUGAAAGCAGGGGAUCUUCGGACCUUGCGCGAUUGAAUGAGCCGAUGUCGGAUUAGCUAGUUGGCGGGGUAAAGGCCCACCAAGGCGACGAUCCGUAGCUGGUCUGAGAGGAUGAUCAGCCACACUGGAACUGAGACACGGUCCAGACUCCUACGGGAGGCAGCAGUGGGGAAUAUUGGACAAUGGGCGCAAGCCUGAUCCAGCCAUACCGCGUGGGUGAAGAAGGCCUUCGGGUUGUAAAGCCCUUUUGUUGGGAAAGAAAAGCAGCAGGUUAAUACCCCGCUGUUCUGACGGUACCCAAAGAAUAAGCACCGGCUAACUUCGUG